RNAcentral lists this ribosomal RNA (253 nucleotides) under uncultured bacterium. Its description in RNAcentral is "partial 16S ribosomal RNA". It matches the Rfam family "Bacterial small subunit ribosomal RNA", at positions 524 to 776 of the family's 1533-position model. The record is from RNAcentral.
UACGUAGGGUGCGAGCGUUGAUCGGAAUUACUGGGCGUAAAGUGUGCGUAGACGGUCAUGUAAGUCGGGUGUGAAAGCCCCGGGCUCAACCUGGGAAUUGCAUUCGAGACUGCAUGGCUAGGAUGCGGAAGAGGGAAGCGGAAUUUCCGGUGUAGCGGUGAAAUGCGUAGAUAUCGGAAGGAACACCAGUAGCGAAAGCGGCUUCCUGGUCCAGCAUCGACGUUCAGGCACGAAAGCGUGGGGAGCAAACAGG